GAUUAGGAAGUUUAUUUUAACGUCUACUUUGAAAGUAGAAAAAGAGGAAUCUUUUCUCUCUAAUCU
Molecule: transfer RNA, 66 nt
Filed under: Colpocephalum griffoneae
Lineage: Eukaryota; Metazoa; Arthropoda; Insecta; Psocodea; Menoponidae
Description: tRNA-Ser
Source: RNAcentral